Molecule: ribosomal RNA, 601 nt
Filed under: Lodderomyces parapsilosis
Lineage: Eukaryota; Fungi; Ascomycota; Pichiomycetes; Serinales; Debaryomycetaceae
Description: Candida parapsilosis partial 26S ribosomal RNA
Rfam family: Eukaryotic large subunit ribosomal RNA
Source: RNAcentral
CCACAGUAUGCUUAGUAGCGGCGAGUGAAGCGGCAAAAGCUCAAAUUUGAAAUCUGGCACUUUCAGUGUCCGAGUUGUAAUUUGAAGAAGGUAUCUUUGGGUCUGGCUCUUGUCUAUGUUUCUUGGAACAGAACGUCACAGAGGGUGAGAAUCCCGUGCGAUGAGAUGUCCCAGACCUAUGUAAAGUUCCUUCGAAGAGUCGAGUUGUUUGGGAAUGCAGCUCUAAGUGGGUGGUAAAUUCCAUCUAAAGCUAAAUAUUGGCGAGAGACCGAUAGCGAACAAGUACAGUGAUGGAAAGAUGAAAAGAACUUUGAAAAGAGAGUGAAAAAGUACGUGAAAUUGUUGAAAGGGAAGGGCUUGAGAUCAGACUUGGUAUUUUGUAUGUUACUCUCUCGGGGGUGGCCUCUACAGUUUACCGGGCCAGCAUCAGUUUGAGCGGUAGGAUAAGUGCAAAGAAAUGUGGCACUGCUUCGGUAGUGUGUUAUAGUCUUUGUCGAUACUGCCAGCUUAGACUGAGGACUGCGGCUUCGGCCUAGGAUGUUGGCAUAAUGAUCUUAAGUCGCCCGUCUUGAAACACGGAACCAGAAAACAAGCCUGGAAG